RNAcentral lists this long non-coding RNA (672 nucleotides) under Oncorhynchus kisutch (coho salmon). Its description in RNAcentral is "lncRNA (ENSOKIG00005042209.1)". Lineage: Eukaryota; Metazoa; Chordata; Actinopteri; Salmoniformes; Salmonidae. The record is from RNAcentral.
GUUAUCCUUUACCCCUUUCAAAUUAUACAAAAAAAGAAAGCCCCCUGUGCAAAUGGUCUAUAAUCUCUAGAAGUUGACGUCUGAAGGCCUAUCCGAACUGUCCAUAUGUUGCCAUCUGUCCUGUCACACUUUAGGCCAACAGUAUCCCCUCAUAUGACCGACUCAUAAUCAGAAAUGAUCGGGCACAAUACAUGGGACAAUCAUCUGCAAAGAAAACACACGUUUACAAUAAACAACCUACGGUCACAUUUGCAAUAUGUCCAAAAUAUUAGGCUAUAGGCCUAUUUGUCUUGGUAGAUACAUUUACACAAACAUUUGAAUUGUCUCUCUUGCUGAUAAAAAACAAUCGGUAUUAUCAGUGUAAACCUUUUUUUUCUUCUCAAAACUAGCUAGGCAGUGACAUCUUUGCUUUGUGGCUCAGUAAACAGUGACAGAGUUAGCGUUUAAAUAAAUGCUGUGAUGAAUGCAGUCCUCGGAAGCAGUUUGCUGGAUGGAGUCUUCCAAGAUCUCGUCGCUUUUCAAUGUCCAGCGGCAUCAAACCAAUAUCCAGAGACAUCACUGAAAAGGACCAACCUCUGACAGGAGAAGUUGGAUAGGGGAAGGUGCUGGUGAAAGCGAAGGGCGAGAAUGUGAGAGGAGACUCCACUUGCCUGGGUUGAUCUUUUCUGGCGA